RNAcentral lists this ribosomal RNA (499 nucleotides) under uncultured bacterium. RNAcentral describes it as "partial 16S ribosomal RNA". It matches the Rfam family "Bacterial small subunit ribosomal RNA", at positions 28 to 507 of the family's 1533-position model. The record is from RNAcentral.
GACGGACGCUGGCGGCGUGCUUAACACAUGCAAGUCGAACGGGCCCGCUCUCUUUUUUGGGGGUGGGUUGAGUGGCGAACGGGUGAGUAUCACGUGAGUAACCUGCCCCCUGCUCCUGGAUAACUGCUUGAAAGGGCGGCUAAUACGGGGUGUGCCGGCUGGUCCGCAUGGGCCUGGUCGGGAUAGUUUCAUCUUCGGGUGUUUCGGUGGGGGAUGGGCUCGCGGCCUAUCAGCUUGUUGGUGGGGUGAUGGCCCACCAAGGCGGUGACGGGUAGCCGGCCUGAGAGGGUGGGCGGCCACACUGGGACUGAGACACGGACCAGACUCCUGCGGGAGGCAGCAGUGGGGGGUAUUGCACAAUGGGCGGAAGCCUGAUGCAGCGACGUCGCGUGAGGGAUGGAGGCCUUCGGGUUGUGAACCUCUUUCUCCGGUGGUGAAGGCCCUGUCCGUUGCGGCGGGGUUGACGGUAGCCGGGUAUGAAGCGCCGGCUAACUACGUG